UCUCUCUAGCACCAUAACUGCUUGCCCGCUGCCAUGCUUCCUGCCAUAAAUGACUAAACCUCUCAACUGUAAGCCAGCGCCAGUUAAAUGUUUUCCUAUAUGAGAGUUGCUGUGGUCAUGGUGUCUCUUCACAGCAACAGAAACCUUAACUAAGACAAUAAGUGAAUAAAUAAAUGAGCAGGAUGUAAGAUCUGUGUCUGUGACACUUCCCUAGGGAGAGGGCAUAGGUUUCUGCAAGGAAAUUAGACUGACUCACAGUGCCCAUUAAAAUGAGUCUGCCUUUGCCCAACCGCAAAAGUAUGAGGUCUGUUCUCAGGAGCACAACCAUGUCAUCAGGAGUGGAACCCAGUGAAAUCACCAAGACUUUGAAAAUCUUCAGCUCGGUCAUCCAUUCUAGUUCUGCCCUGUGAUAUCCCUUCACAAAGAAGCUCAAGGAACCAUCAGAGCCACCGUGCUAUUGACCGAACCAGCUACGUGAAUCAAGCCACUUAGACACGUUCCAUGGAGAUUCUCAGUGUCCUCUAUCACAGGAUUGCCAUGCAGUGAGGCAAGGACAGACGGAGGAGGAGAGGCCUCCUUCUGCUGUCUGCCUGGACGCGGCCUCUCCCUGGCUCUUACACAAUAAGCCCUUUGAGGGACAGCAAUAACUUGCAGAUUAAACGUCUCCUGGAAAACACAUCACUUCACAAAUUACCCAGGAGAAGGCAGCAGGCCCAAGAGCUCCAUUGGAUUAGUCACACCCAAAGCAAAUAAAGGGAACUAACAAAUAAAGAACAGGCCCAGGGCUAUCCAUCCCAAAUGCAUGCGUUUGCAGGAUGUGGACACUGCAAGAACAGCCCAGGGCUCCACCAGGAUGGGCUGCUGUCCAGCCUCUGGAAGGACAAUACCCUUGGAGCAGGGUUAUCUCACAAGCAGCCCGAAAUGGCCAUUCUUGCCCAUGUGUGGGGGCACUGCUAAGAAAGCUGCAAAUAUCUCCACCCCUCACCCCAUGUCACAGAAGCCAGUGCUCUGUGCAUGUACUUGUCGUCUGGAUUAGAACAGUCCUCUGCCUACACAAGGAGAGGUCCCAGGACCAGCCUGGGAACUCCUUAGGAAGUUAUUUUGUCCUGGGUGAUCCAGGGAUAUAUGUAGGUCUGAGGAAACCUGCUCCGGCUAGGUCAGCUCCACUCUGGUUGUCCCUCUUGAGGUGCACAAUAAAGUUCUGUAGCUGCUU
Long non-coding RNA from Mastomys coucha (southern multimammate mouse), 1213 nucleotides. RefSeq lists it as uncharacterized. NCBI's taxonomy places the organism in Eukaryota, Metazoa, Chordata, Mammalia, Rodentia, Muridae. The transcript has 2 exons. The record is from RefSeq and is a predicted model, not a curated record.